GCAACGUUAUCGCUUGGCAACUAAAUAGUUGCCAUGGUAUCUGGUCAUAAUUGAUAUAUUGAUUGUUUGCUUUUGCGAGCAUUGGAAAGCUUUUUUCAAAGAUCACUUCUAGACUGAAUUUGCAUGUAAGUUAAAAGAAACGCUUUUGAUAAAACAUGAAUACUGAAUCGUGGUGUCGAGUCGAAUGCCGUAACUCUGAACAAUGGACGCGAUCCAAUCGAAAACAUUUCAGUAAAGCAUUUGAAAGUAAAGUGUUUAAUGAACGACAUGACUCGGAGGAAAGACUACAUUUUCCAAAGAAAGAUCAGGUUCUAAGGGAACGCAGACAUUUUCCUGAAAAAUAUAUAUGUAAUCUGAAAUGAUGAAAAUGAAGCCUGUCUGUCUAUGGUUGGAAAGAAAGAUAGGGAUAUUUUUGAAAAACACGAAUUUUGCAUGGGAAACUCAUAGAACUAUCAGAUUACACCAUGUAUUGUUUGUAUUAAUAGAGAAGUAUAGUAAAAAUAAAAUCAGUUUUCCUGAUGAA
Long non-coding RNA from Xenia sp. Carnegie-2017, 523 nucleotides. RefSeq lists it as uncharacterized. The transcript is spliced from 2 exons. Lineage: Eukaryota; Metazoa; Cnidaria; Anthozoa; Malacalcyonacea; Xeniidae. The record is from RefSeq and is a predicted model, not a curated record.